AUUGAACGCUGGCGGCAUGCUUUACACAUGCAAGUCGAACGGUAACAGGGAGCUUGCUCCGCUGACGAGUGGCGAACGGGUGAGUAAUGCAUCGGAACGUGCCGUGUAAUGGGGGAUAACGUAGCGAAAGUUACGCUAAUACCGCAUACGCCCUGAGGGGGAAAGUGGGGGACCGCAAGGCCUCACGUUAUACGAGCGGCCGAUGUCGGAUUAGCUAGUUGGUGGGGUAAAGGCCUACCAAGGCGACGAUCCGUAGCGGGUCUGAGAGGAUGAUCCGCCACACUGGGACUGAGACACGGCCCAGACUCCUACGGGAGGCAGCAGUGGGGAAUUUUGGACAAUGGGGGCAACCCUGAUCCAGCCAUGCCGCGUGAGUGAAGAAGGCCUUCGGGUUGUAAAGCUCUUUCAGGUGGAAAGAAAUACGCAUCUUUUAAUACUAGGGUGUGGAUGACGGUACCAUCAGAAGAAGCACCGGCUAACUACGUGCCAGCAGCCGCGGU
RNAcentral lists this ribosomal RNA (500 nucleotides) under uncultured bacterium. Its description in RNAcentral is "bacterial SSU rRNA". It matches the Rfam family "Bacterial small subunit ribosomal RNA", at positions 30 to 521 of the family's 1533-position model. The record is from RNAcentral.